Non-coding RNA from Mycena crocata, 90 nucleotides. NCBI's taxonomy places the organism in Eukaryota, Fungi, Basidiomycota, Agaricomycetes, Agaricales, Mycenaceae. The record is from the annotation of a GenBank genome assembly.
GCACCGAUGGUGUAGUCACACACACUAUUGUUCAAUGUUUGGUAUAGUGGAUUUCUGUGUGGGUCCGGGGUUCGAAUCCCCGUUGGUGCA